GGCUCCAAUAGCGUAUAUUAAAGUUGUUGUGGUUAAAAAGCUCGUAGUUGGAUCUCAACAGCCCUGGAUCGGUGUACUUUGUGUACUACUGAUCUAUGAGUUGUGCUUUUGCUGGAGGUUUAGGGGUGCUCUUAAUCGAGUGUCUCUGGAUGCCAGCAGGUUUACUUUGAAAAAAUUAGAGUGUUCAAAGCAGGCUGUUAUGCCUGAAUAUUCGUGCAUGGAAUAAUAGAAUAGGAUGUCGAUCUUAUUUUGUUGGUUUUCGAGACUCGACAUAAUGAUUAAUAGGGACAGUCGGGGGCAUUUGUAUUCAAACGCUAGAGGUGAAAUUCUUGGACCGUUUGAAGACAAACUACUGCGAAAGCAUUUGCCAAGAAUGUUUUCAUUAAUCAAGAACGAAAGU
RNAcentral lists this ribosomal RNA (400 nucleotides) under phytoplankton environmental sample. Its description in RNAcentral is "partial small subunit ribosomal RNA". It matches the Rfam family "Eukaryotic small subunit ribosomal RNA", at positions 587 to 990 of the family's 1831-position model. The record is from RNAcentral.